RNAcentral lists this long non-coding RNA (204 nucleotides) under Gallus gallus (chicken). The record is from RNAcentral. Lineage: Eukaryota; Metazoa; Chordata; Aves; Galliformes; Phasianidae.
GUCCUGAUGCUCCUGAUGAGAGGAGAAGAGAAUGGUUGGAUUGAUGUCUUUUGUUGUGAAGUUCUCCCAUGGAGGAGUUAACUCUGUUUGUCUAUCAGUAGACUGUAUUUCUAUCUCCAGUAUAACAUGGAAAAGCUGGGGAUAUUUGUCUGGAGAGUCACAGGCAUCCAGUUCAGGUUUGGUGAAUUUUAAUGUGGUUGUUCC